UACGUAGGGGGCGAGCGUUAUCCGGAUUCACUGGGUGUAAAGGGAGCGUAGACGGCCAAGCAAGCCAGGGGUGAAAGCCCGGGGCCCGACCCCGGGACUGCCCUUGGAACUGCAUGGCUGGAGUGCGGGAGGGGCAGGCGGAAUUCCUGGCGUAGCGGUGAAAUGCUUAGAGAUCAUACAGAACACCGAUUGCGAAGGCAGCUUACCAAACUAUAUCUGACGUUGAGGCACGAAAGCGUGGGUAGCAAACAGG
This 253-nucleotide ribosomal RNA is filed under the name uncultured bacterium. Its description in RNAcentral is "partial 16S ribosomal RNA". It matches the Rfam family "Bacterial small subunit ribosomal RNA", at positions 524 to 776 of the family's 1533-position model. The record is from RNAcentral.